GAUGAACGCUGGCGGCGUGCCUAAUACAUGCAAGUCGAGCGAACGGACGAGAAGCUUGCUCCUCUGAUGUUAGCGGCGGACGGGUGAGUAACACGUGGAUAACCUACCUAUAAGACUGGGAUAACAUCGGGAAACGGGUGCUAAUACCGGAUAAGAUUUUGAACCGCAUGGUUCAAAAGUGAAAGACGGUCUUGCUGUCUCUUGUUGAUUGAUCCGCGGUGCAUUAGCUAGUUGGUAAGGUAACGGCUUACCAAGGCAACGAUGCAUAGCCGACCUGAGAGGGUGAUCGGCCACACUGGAACUGAGACACGGUCCAGACUCCUACGGGAGGCAGCAGUAGGGAAUCUUCCGCAAUGGGCGAAAGCCUGACGGAGCAACGCCGCGUGAGUGAAGAAGGUCUUCGGAUCGUAAAACUCUGUUAUUAGGGAAGAACAUAUGUGAGAGUAACUGUGCACGUCUUGACGGUACCUAAUCAGAAAGCCACGGCUAACUACGUG
This 497-nucleotide ribosomal RNA is filed under the name uncultured bacterium. Its description in RNAcentral is "partial 16S ribosomal RNA". It matches the Rfam family "Bacterial small subunit ribosomal RNA", at positions 28 to 507 of the family's 1533-position model. The record is from RNAcentral.